This 234-nucleotide ribosomal RNA is filed under the name uncultured bacterium. RNAcentral's name for it is "partial 16S ribosomal RNA". It matches the Rfam family "Bacterial small subunit ribosomal RNA", at positions 333 to 564 of the family's 1533-position model. The record is from RNAcentral.
GAUCCCCUACGGGGCGCAGCAGUGAGGAAUAUUGGUCAAUGGGCGCGAGCCUGAACCAGCCAAGUCGCGCGAGGGAGGACGGCCCUACGGGUUGUAAACCUCUUUUGCCGGGGAGCAACGGGCGUAACGUGUGGCGCCACUGAGAGUACCCGGAGAAAAGCAUCGGCUAACUCCGUGCCAGCAGCCGCGGUAAUACGGAGGAUGCGGGCGUUAUCCGGAUUUAUUGGGUUUAAA